UUGGAUGCAGCUCAGUGGUAGAGCACGUGUUUUGCAUGCACAAGGCCCUAGGGUUCAAUCCCUAGGAUUCAAU
This 73-nucleotide transfer RNA is filed under the name Fukomys damarensis (Damara mole-rat). It matches the Rfam family "tRNA". From Rfam's summary of the family: Transfer RNA (tRNA) molecules are approximately 80 nucleotides in length. Lineage: Eukaryota; Metazoa; Chordata; Mammalia; Rodentia; Bathyergidae. The record is from Rfam by way of RNAcentral.